CAGCAGUAGCCGCGGGAAUACGAAGGGUGCAAGCGUUAAUCGGAAUUACUGGGCGUAAAGGGUGCGUAGGCGGUUGUUUAAGUCAGAUGUGAAAUCCCCGAGCUUAACUUGGGAACUGCAUUUGAAACUGGCAAGCUAGAGUCUUGUAGAGGGGGGUAGAAUUCCAGGUGUAGCGGUGAAAUGCGUAGAGAUCAGGAGGAAUACCGGUGGCGAAGGCGGCCCCCUGGACAAAGACUGACGCUCAGGUGCGAAAGCGUGGGGAGCAAACAGGAUUAGAUACCCGAGUAGUCCCUGUCUCUUAUAC
Molecule: ribosomal RNA, 304 nt
Filed under: uncultured bacterium
Lineage: Bacteria
Description: partial 16S ribosomal RNA
Rfam family: Bacterial small subunit ribosomal RNA
Source: RNAcentral